CAUCAUCACAGGUCCUUUUCCUCCUUAAUCUGCACAGCCUGACUCCUCCCACACAUGACUAUGCCAUCAUCACAGGUCCUGUAACCCCUGAAGAAGUAUACGUGUGAUGUGCAGCCGUGCAGGAGGUUCCUACAAUAUAGGAUCCACUCAGUGCAUAUCUUCUAUAUAAGAUCAUUCUCCUGAUUGACCUGUCAAGGAUGGAUACGGAUAAGGACAAGAUGGCAGAGACUAUAAUAAAUCUCACCCUAGAGAUCCUCUUCCGGCUUACUGGGGAGGAUUACUUAGUGUUGAAGAGGACCUCUAGUGAGCCCUGUCAGGAUCCUGUAUUUAAAGGACAGGGAAGAAUCCUGAGCCCAAUUAAGGGGCCUCCACCUCACCCCCUGAUACAUGAGAAAAUCAAUAAAGAGAAGAUCCUAGAACUCACCAACAAGAUGAUUGAGCUGCUGACUGGAGAGGUUCCUAUAAGGUGUCAGGAUGUCACCGUCUAUUUC
Long non-coding RNA from Bufo gargarizans (Asiatic toad), 491 nucleotides. RefSeq lists it as uncharacterized. Lineage: Eukaryota; Metazoa; Chordata; Amphibia; Anura; Bufonidae. The record is from RefSeq and is a predicted model, not a curated record. The transcript is spliced from 4 exons.